RNAcentral lists this ribosomal RNA (380 nucleotides) under Pseudomonas aeruginosa. RNAcentral's name for it is "bacterial SSU rRNA". It matches the Rfam family "Bacterial small subunit ribosomal RNA", at positions 1 to 377 of the family's 1533-position model. Lineage: Bacteria; Pseudomonadati; Pseudomonadota; Gammaproteobacteria; Pseudomonadales; Pseudomonadaceae. The record is from RNAcentral. RNAcentral also lists the same sequence under 1 other name.
AAAUUGAAGAGUUUGAUCAUGGCUCAGAUUGAACGCUGGCGGCAGGCCUAACACAUGCAAGUCGAACGGUAACAGGAAGAAGCUUGCUUCUUUGCUGACGAGUGGCGGACGGGUGAGUAAUGUCUGGGAAACUGCCUGAUGGAGGGGGAUAACUACUGGAAACGGUAGCUAAUACCGCAUAACGUCGCAAGACCAAAGAGGGGGACCUUCGGGCCUCUUGCCAUCGGAUGUGCCCAGAUGGGAUUAGCUAGUAGGUGGGGUAACGGCUCACCUAGGCGACGAUCCCUAGCUGGUCUGAGAGGAUGACCAGCCACACUGGAACUGAGACACGGUCCAGACUCCUACGGGAGGCAGCAGUGGGGAAUAUUGCACAAUGGGCG